AGAGACCGAGUGUGGCCCUGUAGUAGAGCAUCUGCUUCACAUGCAGAAGGUCCCAAAUUCAAUCCUUGGCAUCUCUA
RNAcentral lists this transfer RNA (77 nucleotides) under Sphaerodactylus townsendi. RNAcentral's name for it is "tRNA-Val". The stretch from base 9 to 77 matches the Rfam family "tRNA". Rfam says of the family: Transfer RNA (tRNA) molecules are approximately 80 nucleotides in length. Their secondary structure includes four short double-helical elements and three loops (D, anti-codon, and T loops). The record is from RNAcentral. Lineage: Eukaryota; Metazoa; Chordata; Lepidosauria; Squamata; Sphaerodactylidae.